Molecule: ribosomal RNA, 498 nt
Filed under: uncultured bacterium
Lineage: Bacteria
Description: partial 16S ribosomal RNA
Rfam family: Bacterial small subunit ribosomal RNA
Source: RNAcentral
GACGAACGCUGGCGGCGUGCCUAAUACAUGCAAGUCGAACGAGAGCGACCGGUGCUUGCACUGGUCAAUCUAGUGGCGAACGGGUGAGUAACACGUGGGUAACCUGCUCAUCAGAGGGGGAUAACAUCCGGAAACGGAUGCUAAAACCGCAUAGGUCUUCGAGCCGCAUGGCUUGAAGAGGAAAAGAGGCGCGAGCUUCUGCUGAUGGAUGGACCCGCGGUGCAUUAGCUAGUUGGUGAGGUAACGGCUCACCAAGGCCGUGAUGCAUAGCCGACCUGAGAGGGUGAUCGGCCACAUUGGGACUGAGACACGGCCCAAACUCCUACGGGAGGCAGCAGUAGGGAAUCUUCCGCAAUGGACGCAAGUCUGACGGAGCAACGCCGCGUGAGUGAAGAAGGUUUUCGGAUCGUAAAACUCUGUUGUUAGAGAAGAACAAGUGCUAGAGUAACUGUUAGCGCCUUGACGGUAUCUAACCAGAAAGCCACGGCUAACUACGUG